This is a long non-coding RNA of Cuculus canorus (common cuckoo), 1964 nucleotides long. RefSeq lists it as uncharacterized. The transcript is spliced from 4 exons. Lineage: Eukaryota; Metazoa; Chordata; Aves; Cuculiformes; Cuculidae. The record is from RefSeq and is a predicted model, not a curated record.
GCAGGAAGCCCAGGAAUCGACCUCCCUUUGGUUUUUGGCUACCCCAUCCUUCAGCGUCCCCCAUUUGAGGCAUGGGUGACCAAAAACCAGCUGCGGGGGACGAUGCCAGCAGCUCCGCAGGCUCAGGGAGCACAUCCUUGCUCCUAUAGCGCGUGAGAAAGAGCCUGGGACCUGCUACUGGAGUCAGGCACCUUCACAGCCCUCCGAGCUCCCUCGCAGCUUGGGGAGGUUGUUCAGCAUCAGGGAACAGACUCAUCCCUGCACAGCGCCCGAGCAGAGCGGUCCUGGGAGGAAACGAAACCAGCUCGUGCAUCUGUUUGCACCAGAAAAGCACCCGCAGAUGUGAGCCUGAACCCACGCCUGCACGCGCCAGUGCACCCACCCGGGCUUGCGCAAGCAUCAACACACCCUUGCACGCUCACAUCUGCAUGCACAUCUGCAUGCACAAGCCAAUGCUUCGUUGCACACCCAAAUCUCACCUGCUGGGGCUGCAACACAGCCUCACUGUGCACAGACACCCGCCUGGGGGUGACACAGCCAUGGAGACCAGAGGCUGAGGAGAAGGAGGGUGAAGCUCAGGUUCUUCCUUCUGGAUGUUUCGAUCAGCAGGUCCAUCCCUGAAGCUCCAAGACCAUCAGCAUCCCCAGGGAUUGCUGGAAGGGCCACGCAGCUGACGGUGGCUGAGGGUGAGCCAUCCAGGAGAUCCAGACGGGAACCCUCAGCUUGCUGCAAUGUCCUGGAUGGCUUUUUUUCCAUCAAGGGUCUUGGUUUGAGGGAGGCAAUGGAGGAGAGAAGGCAGUGAAGAGCUGAGAACCUGCACCCUCAAAAGGAGCAGAGUGCCUCCAUCCUUUCUUCACAGAGGGGGUGUUGGGAAUGCAGCUCCACUCCAGAGCAAAAAGCAGAGUGAAGAGCUGGGGUACCUUGCUUGAUGCUGACACUGGGGUGGCUUUGUCCCAGGCCUUUGGUCUCCAAUGCCCAGGCUCUUCCUGAGGCAGCUAUAUCCGUGGGAGAAUAAAACCAGCCUUGAUAAAUGCAUCUCAGGGAGACCUUCCACCAGCAAGGGGCUGUUUCACCUCAGUGAUGUUAAUAUUAAUCUGCUUAUCUGCCCCAGGGUUAUAAAACUUUCAUCUCCAAAGGGGGAAAAAACUUCCCACUGUUUUUUCUUUAUAUUUGCCCUUGCUUAUUGUGGCCUUAUCAGCAAGCACAGCCCGCAGGGCAAGAGUCAUGCAACAGCUCCAGCAAAUGGGGCUUCUGGUCCUACACCAGCAUCAGCAUUGCGUGUUCCCACUGCAGCUGGAGUUUAUGGCUUUGUUUUAUGGCCCUUGUCAUAGGUAGGGGGGGAUGUUAAUCGGCUGAUGGUCCUCAUGGGUUGCUCUAAGCCAUCCUUCCACUUUUCCUCCAAGGUCUCUGAUAGCCUGUAGCUCAAACCAGGCUUUGGACCUCCCCAUCUUUACCCUUGCUUUUCCUGCAAUAUUGGGAUUAUUAUGUUGAGUGGUGAAGAUGAAGCCGGUGUGACAUGGCAUGGGGCUCCUCAAGCUAGUUCAGUGCAUUCAAGUGAGACCGAGGCUGUAUUGUCCCAAUGUUUCAUCUCAAAUCGGUGACCAAGCAAGACCUGGACACACAGAGACAGAGUUACUCCUUUUCUGGCUUGUUUAGCAGGUCUGAACACCUCCUGCUCUUGCUGGAAUCUCCCUGAGGUCUUGGGCAAUCACCUUCCCCAUUUUCUUCCAAAAACACACUCUUUCAAUUCUGUCUCUUCUUGGAAGUUGUUGUGCAAUGCGUGAAGAGUGGUUGGUACUUGGCCCUGAAAGGACCUCUCGUUGGUCACGGUCAGGAGCUACGGCUGAGCAGAUGCUACCCAUGGAAGCAGAUUCAGGAGGAAUCCUUGUGGAGGCUUUCUACUCAGCUAUUUUGGGGUUUUUUUUGACUCAGCUAUUAAGUUGUAACAUAAAGGGAGGUUUUUU